GUGGGGAAUAUUGGACAAUGGGCGAAAGCCUGAUCCAGCCAUGCCGCGUGUGUGAAGAAGGUCUUCGGAUUGUAAAGCACUUUAAGUUGGGAGGAAGGGCAGUAAGUUAAUACCUUGCUGUUUUGACGUUACCGACAGAAUAAGCACCGGCUAACUUCGUGCCAGCAGCCGCGGUAAUACGAAGGGUGCAAGCGUUAAUCGGAAUUACUGGGCGUAAAGCGCGCGUAGGUGGUUUUGUAAGUUGGAGGUGAAAUCCCCGGGCUCAACCUGGGAACUGCCUCCAAAACUGCAUGACUAGAGUACGGUAGAGGGUAGUGGAAUUUCCUGUGUAGCGGUGAAAUGCGUAGAGAUCUGGAGGAAUACCGAUGGCGAAGGCAGCCAUCUGGCCUAAUACUGACACUGAGGUGCGAAAGCAUGGGGAGCAAACAGGAUUAGAAACCCGAGUAGUCC
Molecule: ribosomal RNA, 450 nt
Filed under: uncultured bacterium
Lineage: Bacteria
Description: partial 16S ribosomal RNA
Rfam family: Bacterial small subunit ribosomal RNA
Source: RNAcentral